RNA transcript from Capsicum annuum, 4231 nucleotides. It is a transcript of the gene named exocyst complex component SEC10b, with no coding region annotated. Lineage: Eukaryota; Viridiplantae; Streptophyta; Magnoliopsida; Solanales; Solanaceae. The transcript is spliced from 8 exons. The record is from RefSeq and is a predicted model, not a curated record.
GAGAAAAGCGGGAAUCUAGGGUUAAUUAUCAAACUUACGUAAAACAGAUGUACGAGACUUCUCUUCCUCUUCGACUGCUGCAUCUUCUCUUCCCCUUUGACUGCUGCUACCUGCUACUUGACUGCUGCUCUUCUUCACAUGGAGGAGCUGUGCUGAAGGACAGCAAUCCUCCGAGUCACCUGGGACAAUUGGACGCUCAAAAGGUGCUGCAAUGGCAUCCUCUCACCAGCAAAUUUCUGUUACUAUAGCGACAGAGUUUGUUCGUUGGAAUGAAGAAGCAGUAUCCAGAUGCACUCUGUUUUCAUCACAGACCUACAGAAUUGUACCAAAUGCUUGUUUAAUUUGUUUGUACCGCCUGCUGCAAUUGCUGCUAACGUAAGGGCUGUUUUUACAUGCCUUCUGAACCAAGUGAGUAUGUACAUUACUGAAGGUCUUGAAAGAGCCAGAGACAGUCUCACUGAGGCUGCUGCUUUAAGGGAAAGAUUUGUAGUUCCUAGUGUAAGUCGAAGGGUUGCUGCUGCAGCUGCUUCCGCAGCAGAAGCAGCAGCUGCUGCUGGUGAAAGCAGUUUCAGAUCUUUCAUGGUUUCUGUGCAAUGUUGUGGGAGCAGUGUGGCUAUUGUGCAGCAAUAUUUUGCAAACUCUAUAUUUCGGCUUUUACUAUCUGUGGAUGGUGCGCAUGCUGCAUCUUGUGAAGAAAUGGCUAUAGCUAUGUCAAGUGCAGAGGGUGCUGCUUAUAAGGGGCUUCAGCAGUGCAUUGAAACUGUUAUGGCAGAGAGUUGUCGCAUACCUUUUAAGGGUGCUUGAAUCGGCAUUCACAGCGCUGGAAGGGCUUAACAAACAAGCCUUUCUGACUGAAUUGGGGACUUGUUUACACAAAGUCUUGAUUAAUCAUUGGCAAAAGUUCACCUUCAAUGCAAGUUACUUCCUUUCGGUAAUGCUGUUAUUGCUGCUUGUUUUAAGUUGUAAGAAAUUGGAGUUACAAAAGUUACAUCGUGACUUAUAGGAUCCAUAGUAGGAAUAGUUUCCUGCCUAUAGUAAGCUAAUGCUUAUACCUAGCAUCAGUGAGUAUAGAAAGCUAUCUUCCAGCUAACAUUUCUAUUGCAUAAAGCCGAAAGAGAAAUUACUGAUGUUUGUGUCAUUUCAGCAUUAUAGAAAAUAAAGUAAUAUUUGGUAGAUUGUAAUAAUUGUAAUAUUUUGCUAAUAAUGUGAAUUGGAGUUUCCUAGAUGUCAUUAUGCUACAAAUGGGAUUUGGGGAAAAAUGGAUUAAAUUUUUCAUCUCAUCAGUGCGAUAUUCCGUUUUGGUGAAUGGAAAUCCUUCAGUUUUUUUUGGGAGUUCGAGGGGUUUGAGACUAGGGGAUCCUCUAUCUCCCAUAUUAUUCAUUUUAGUAAUGGAAGCAUUGAGCAGGAUGAUGGAUAAAGCUGGCAUGAGAGGAUUCAGAAAAAGUUUUAAUGCUGCAGUUGGGGGUGCUGGAACACUUUCGGUUUCUCAUUUAUUGUUUGCAGAUGGUACUUUGGUCGAGGUCUUUAGAAAUCAAGGACAAAUCAGAUCAAGCAGCAGCUAUAUCCUAAAAAAUUGGAGUACUACCUGAAAAAUACCAUGAAUUAGACCCUACUUUGUUUUUGUGAUGCAUAUAGUUACCAAUUGGAUUAUUUAGGCCAAGUCAUUUGGUUUCAGGUUGUGUCUGGCCUUAAAAUUAACUUGUGCGAGAUCAUUCUAGUAGGAGAGGUAGGCGACAUUGACUCUCUGGCUCAAGUUUUGAAUUGCGGUUUGGGGCCCUUCCUUCUACAUAUCUUGGGUCAACGUUAGGUGCUUCAAACAAGAAUGUUACAAUGUGGAAUUCGGUUGUCCAAAGGGUUGAGAAAAGAUUAGCAGGGUGACGAAAGAGAUAUUUGUCUGAAGGUGGAAAAGAGGUACUCAUUAAGAGUACUCGAACAUUUCUACUUAUUAUAUGUCUUUGUUUCAUGCUCCAAUCUCAGGAAAGUUUGAAAAGAUCCAAAGAUUUUCUUUGGGACGCGGUGGAUGGGACAGAAGUUUCAUUUGGUGAAAUGGGAGACUGUCACUUCUCCCCAAAUAUGGGGAGGGCUAGGCAUUAAAGGUUUAAAGGUGUUUAACAAAGCUUUGUUGGGUAAGUGGCUUUAGAGGUUUGGGGAUGGAGGUGAAUGCUUCCUGGAGAGAGGUGAUAGUUGAUAAAUAUGGGGCUAUGGAAGGGGAAUGGAGUACCAGAGGCUUGACUCUACCUUUUAGGUGUGGUUUGUGGAGGACUAUCUUGAAGGGAUGGGAUGAUUUCAAAAUAAAUAUCUUAUUCAAGGUAGGAGGUAGGAAGAGAGUAAAAUUUUGGGGACAUAGUUGGUAUGGAGACAAUUUAUUGAAAGAUGACUUCCCGAGCUUUCACAGAAUUUCUUUCCAAAGAGACUUGACAAUACAACAAAUUAGGGGGACACAAGGUGGAGAGACCUUUUGGGACUUGAGAUUUAGGAGGGACCUCCAUGAUUGGGAGGUGAACGAGUUCCAAUAUUGUUGGAUUUGCUCCAUAAACAAGUCAUGACAGUAGAUAAUCUGAUGCUUUGUGGUGGGGGGAGGUAGGGAAUAGUGCUAUGUUCUUAAUCAAGUCUUAUUAUGGAUAACUUCUGGUUAGAGAGGUGGAUGUUUUUCCUUGUAACACCGUUUGGAUUCCUAAGGCACCAAGGAAGGUGUGUUUUUCAACUGGCUAGCCACUCAUGGGAUCUUGACGGCGGAAAAUCAUAGGAAGCGAAAGGUGGGUUGUAUCAGUUGGUGUUAUAUGUGCAAGAAAACUGGUGAGGACGUGGAUCAUCUUCUUCUUCAUUGUGAUUUUACCACGAGGUUAUGGUGGGAUAUGUUUAGGUGGUUUGAUACUUCAUGGGCAAUGCCAAGAACCGUGAAAGAAUUGAUGAUUAGUUGGAAGAGCAGGAGAAGGAGGAGAAGAUGCAAGGAGUGGAACAUGGUUCCACUCCAUUGAUGUGGGUGGUGCGGAGAUAAAGAAAUAAGAGAUCUUUUGAGUGGGUAGAAUCGAGCUUUUCCCAUUUGAGGAGUAACCUCCGGUCCCUUAUUUUCUUUUGGUGCACCCAUAGAGUUCCAAUUUGUAUAGGAGAUUGGAUGGAGUUUGUAGAGAAUCAUUUAUUAUUGUAGAUUUUUACUUUUUUUGUAUUCCCUUUGGAUACGGCCAACUGCGUGGCCAUGUUUAUGAAUGAAAGUAAUUUUACCUAAUUAAAAAAAAAGAUUUAACAGAAAGACACGAGAUUACCUUCAUCUCGUUCUGUUUUUAGUGACUCAUCAACUUGUGUACUUAUGCUUCAAGGAUCAUUCUUUGGUUGAGAAAGCAGACCGUUUUGAAAAGCACCGUCAUUACUCAACAAAAACAAAAAACAAACUACUCUGUCUCAAAUAACAAGAAAUUUGGUGUCGAUUGGAUAAAGCCUUAGUGAUCAUGUUGUUCUUGUUAAGCUCAUAUUUAGGGGUGGCUCAUGUAGCCCAAAUAUUAUUGGCCCUCCAAGAAUCUUAUGGGUUGGGACGUGUGUCUACUUGUUUAACUUUAUACAAGUUUAAGUGUCUACUUGUACCCAAAGUUGAAAGGCAUAGAUGCCAGCUGAGGCCAAGUUAAAAGGCACGUUCAUUUAUGUAUAUACCUAAAAUCAAAGUAAGAAACUAUCUACAGUUCAUGCCAUGCACAUGACAUGGAUAAAUAAAAGGCCCGUAGAUUGCAAGUCAGUCUUCUUAUAUUCCAAAUCUUUUAUUUUGCAUCUAUGAGUGUGGAGCAGAUGCGUAUAUGUGGUCUCUUCUUUGGUACAUGACUAUCUUCUUAAAUCUGUGGAGUUCCUAUGCAGACAAUGGUCCAACUGUAUCAGUUACAUAUUCUAGUAAAACAGUUUCCAACAAAAUCUUCUACAAUCUGAAUGGCGUUAAGUGUUUGAAAUUCUGGAUAUAUGACCAAAUCCUUAAGUCUGACCGGAGAAAUUGGAAAGUUGGAAGUAAAUAUGUUUGUCAGGCUUACUUAUAAAAAAUCUGUUAGUCAAAGCAUCUGCAGUUUCUCCACCAAGGAAAGAAAAAAAAGGGAGGUCUUGCACACAUGGGUUUGAUUAAACAUGAGUUCUAUAUUAUUUUUUGGUACUCCUGGGACUAUGUAUGUGUAACGCCUCGGAAAACGGGUCCCGGAGCGUCACACGGUGCUUGAGGCUACGAGUAGCCCCAAGCUAACCCUUUGAGCCAUUUUCA